UAUGUGAAUGGGGCAACUUUGGAGCUUUUUCUAAAAUCAGGAGGCAUUGCGGGCAAGUGGGGGGCACAGGUCAGGCAAUGUGGAAGUACUUGGCCUGGGCCCAGCUGAGCUGUGCCCUAGGCUAACCUGUGGAGUCCAGCUGGUGAGCCCCUGGAGGGUAACUCAUCCCACCACACCCGGCCUGGGCCGCAGCGGGAGCAGGACCUGGCAACCUGGGGAUAUUGGGAGGAGACCUUCCUGAUGGCCGGGUGCCCUCAACACUCAGCCCUACCUCCCAAUGCCCACUGCCCCUGGAGUCCUUUGCUUCCCUCCCCACUGAGAGCUGAGGACACCGGGGCCCUGGGUCACCUGUUUGUCUUUCCUGACCUUCACCCUGUACUUGGGAGCCAUCGGCUUUGUCCCAGGCUGAGCAGGACCAUCCUGGCAUCCAGGGUAGGUAGCCCUGCUUCUCCAGGUUCAGGCCACACCAGCAGGCUAAACCCAGGGACAGGGACCGACUCCCACCCUGCACCCUGACCUCUAGGGCAGAGCCUGUCAUGCAGUAAGUGCUUAGCAAACACUAAACAAACACCUUAAGUUCUUCCUUUAACCCCCAAAACUCCUUUCUUGUCUGUGGUCUACCCUUGGCCCGUGGGUUGAGACAAUCCCUUUUAGAGGCUGAGUGGCAAGGAGGUCAGAAGCCCAAAUGCUAAAGAGAAUUAGCUUUGCGCCAUGCUUACACAACACAGUUCUCACACAGACAAAAGGCAGUUACUGUUAGGGAGAGGGUAAAAGUAAAGCCAGCUUUCAUUUUAAUGCUAUUUGUAUAAUCUGAAUCUUGUCAUAAUUGCAACCUUUAAAUGUUUCUGGAAGCCCCCUUACUUGGGAGUUUGAGCCUGAGUUCUGCAGCUGAUAGCUGCAUGUAACCACGGGCAGAUGGUAGCAGGACUUCCCAGCCUCACCUUCCACAUCUGCAAACAGGGGCAAUGGUGCAGCUCACAAAGGGUCUGGGGCAUAGCCCCUAAUGGCAGCUGAUGAAACUCAGGGCUAGUCAAGCCUCUGUCAGCAGCUUCUCUCUGGCCCUCCCACCCCAUUACCUCCCCUGGGGAACUUGCCCAGGGCUUGCCUCCCAGUCUGGCCUUGGGGACCCGCUGGAUCAUGUUGACCUGUAGCACCAUGGCCCCCACCUGGCCCUCUGAAGGACCGCCCUUUCUGAGAAGCCAUCACACCCCACCACAUGGCCCCUGCAGGUGGCCCUCCAGGUACUACAUGAUACUUUGCCAUGUCCCCAGGUGGAAGGCUCAUGCAGGCCCUAGAAGCCUGUGUCCAACAGUGUUAAACAGGGCCAUGAACCUCUAUGUGAAUGAGUGUGUGGCCUCUCAGAGCCAGUACCUGAAGUGUAUCAGGUACUUAUCUCCCCCCGGGGUCUGUGGG
This is a long non-coding RNA of Manis pentadactyla (Chinese pangolin), 1413 nucleotides long. RefSeq lists it as uncharacterized. The transcript is spliced from 3 exons. The record is from RefSeq and is a predicted model, not a curated record. Lineage: Eukaryota; Metazoa; Chordata; Mammalia; Pholidota; Manidae.